CAGCAGCCGCGGUAAUACGAAGGGUGCAAGCGUUACUCGGAAUUACUGGGCGUAAAGCGUGCGUAGGUGGCGGUUUAAGUCCGUUGUGAAAGCCCUGGGCUCAACCUGGGAAUUGCAGUGGAUACUGGAUCACUAGAGUGUGGUAGAGGAUAGUGGAAUUUCCGGUGUAGCAGUGAAAUGCGUAGAGAUCGGAAGGAACAUCUGUGGCGAAGGCGACUAUCUGGGCCAACACUGACACUGAGGCACGAAAGCGUGGGGAGCAAACAGGAUUAGAUACCCCCGUAGUCCCUGUCUCUUAUAC
This 301-nucleotide ribosomal RNA is filed under the name uncultured bacterium. RNAcentral describes it as "partial 16S ribosomal RNA". It matches the Rfam family "Bacterial small subunit ribosomal RNA", at positions 509 to 807 of the family's 1533-position model. The record is from RNAcentral.